UCAGGAUGAACGCUGGCGGCGUGCCUAAUACAUGCAAGUCGAGCGAGAAUCAGUUGAUCGGAGAUUCGUCAAAGUGAAGCUGAGGAAAGCGGCGGACGGGUGAGUAACGCGUAGGCAACCUGCCCUUAGCAGAGGGAUAGCCAUUGGAAACGAUGAUUAAAACCUCAUAAUGCUGUUUUUACACAUGUAGAGACAGCCAAAGAUUUAUCGGCUAAGGAUGGGCCUGCGUCUGAUUAACUAGUUGGUGAGGUAACGGCUCACCAAGGUGACGAUCAGUAGCCGACCUGAGAGGGUGAUCGGCCACAUUGGAACUGAGACACGGUCCAAACUUCUACGGAAGGCAGCAGUAAGGAAUCUUGCACAAUGGGGGAAACCCUGAUGCCAGCAACGCCGCGUGAACGAUGAAGGCCUUAGGGUUGUAAAGUUCUGAUCUGUGGGAAGAAGAAGUGACGGUACCACAGGAGAAAGCCCCGGCUAAAUACGUGCCAGCAGCGGC
Molecule: ribosomal RNA, 496 nt
Filed under: uncultured bacterium
Lineage: Bacteria
Description: bacterial SSU rRNA
Rfam family: Bacterial small subunit ribosomal RNA
Source: RNAcentral